GGACCCGCACAAGCGGUGGAGCAUGUGGUUUAAUUCGAAGCAACGCGAAGAACCUUACCAAGUCUUGACAUCCCCCUGAAUGGAGCAGAGAUGCUGCAGGCCUUCGGGACAGGGGAGACAGGUGGUGCAUGGUUGUCGUCAGCUCGUGUCGUGAGAUGUUGGGUUAAGUCCCGCAACGAGCGCAACCCUUAUGUUUAGUAGCCAGCGGUACGGCCGGGCACUCUAGGCAGACUGCCAGGAAUAACCUGGAGGAAGGCGGGGAUGACGUCAAAUCAUCAUGCCCCUUAUGACUUGGGCUACACACGUGCUACAAUGGCGGCGACAGAGGGAAGCAAACCUGCGAGGGGGAGCAAAUCCAAAAACGCCGUCCCAGUUCGGACUGUAGUCUGCAACCCGACUACACGAAGCUGGAAUCGCUAGUAAUCGCAGAUCAGAAUGCUGCGGUGAAUACGUUCCCGGGUCUU
This 464-nucleotide ribosomal RNA is filed under the name uncultured bacterium. Its description in RNAcentral is "bacterial SSU rRNA". It matches the Rfam family "Bacterial small subunit ribosomal RNA", at positions 917 to 1382 of the family's 1533-position model. The record is from RNAcentral.